CGGAGGAAGGAGUUGAGGAAUGGGAGAGAAAGAUGCCAGCCACACCUAUUCCAGGCCAUCUUGGUGAGAACAACACACGCACACACACACACACACACACACACACACACACACACACACACACACACACACACACACACACACACACACACACAAACUGUCAAGUUAUAUUGCUGUUUAAUGUUUUGUAAAAUGAUACACGCUUGUUAUCUAACAUUUUUUUCUGCACUGUGCCAUCAGGUUCCCAAGUUGUCGAAGUCCCUGUGGUCAAAGGUUUUAUUCUUACUACAGUACUACUGAUUGUCCGGACAUGAAUUCGGAUCAUCUGUUCUACGUUUAUUUGUUGGUUAAGCCACGUUCUGGCCUGUUUGUUACGCCAUGUUCCGGCCUCUUCUAAUGCCUGUGUUCAAUUGUUCCAUUAACACUGAAGGCAUUAAUAUCUCGUCAUUGAGGGUAAGUACAGUUCUUGAUUUGCAUGUUUUUGUUCUUGUUUUUGUAUCCAUUAAGGGUUUAGUAUAGCAAUGUACAAAAAAAGAAGCACAUCAAGAUUGCAGAUAUGAUAAAUUCAGUUGAAAUUACAUCACAUGUCCUACAUGAAGAUGAGGAUUACCCGUGUAGUGAAAACACAACCAAAAUACCACACCCCUAAUGUCAUAGAGUGUCCUACCAGUGUUCUACCAGUUUGCAUGCAGUACUAGUGUUGCUAACACAUGUAAAUGAAAUGGGGUAUUCAUACAUGUCAUGUACACAUGUCCUUGACAGUACCUCCGGAGUUGCUUGCCUUGGGGUUGCCUUCAAGCAAGAACACAACAUCAGCGCCAAACACCGUGUUGUGUCAAUGUAAAUGUUUACAAUACAAUAUAAUGUUGUAUAAUUCACAGCUGAUUUUACACAUUACCUAAGCAGAAUGUGGAUAAUGCUCUUUUUUGUUUUCAAUCUAUCCUAUUUCAUCCAACAGCUUUACUCCCUGUGAGGUCAAUGUGUUCCACACCUGCUCGUUCCACAGCACCUGCUGUUGCCACAGCAUCCUCUGCCCUGUCUAGAGUACCUGCUCUGUCGGCGUCGUCAAGGUCGUCUACAGCACCCUCAACAUCAUAUCCACCUCCUGCAGCACCCUCGGCACCAUGUUCACCUGAUCCACCACUCCCAAGGUACGACCAGGAUGUGAUCCGUUGGAACUGCUUUCACCAUCAGAGAAUAUGGAUGAAGACCGAGAUGGAGGCCUUGGGGCUUUGGCCAGGUUCUCGACCGGUGAGACAUCCAAUGAACAUGAUCUCCUUGUGGCGUUACCCACCUCAGCCUGAACUAAUUGACAGUGUUUACAAACUACCAUCGCCCAACUACUUCCAGCUCCAUCCAUUUUUUAUAUGGAAGCCAGAUCACACCAUAAUGGAGCGAGUCAAGAACAAUUACACUCUGCCCUGUCUCUAUGGCUGUGGAAGUCCUUUCAUUGUGUCAUCAGGGGUUGGGCGACCCCGUGUAAUUAUUGGCUUGAGUGGCCAGUAUUAUAUCCUGGCGUCACGGCUCUGUUGCAAAGGAUGCAACAAGUUCUGGCACGCAGACAAGCCGCAAUGGUUGGACAUGUUGCCGAGCCGAUUCACCAAGAUCUUACCAGCUUUCCUUACCUUCAAAAAGGCAAUUUGUAAGACUUUGAUGGAUGAGCUGCGGCGCUAUGGAAAGUCUCCAAAUGACAUGGCCAACCAGUUAAAUGAGGCUCUCCACCUGAAAUAUGAGCGGGCACACUUGGCAUACCUGGAAAGUGUGAAGAACGUGCUGGAUGGAGAGAGUGGACUGUAUGGACAGCGAACCAUCACAGGGGCAUUGAGAGCAACAUCAACUCCUGCUCUAUUUGGUGGGUAUGCGGAUGGGUGGCACGGAGUGAAGUUAUCGGGGCAUUACCUGGUCGAGUGCCUUAUUCAGGAGUUCCACAGACAGGAGGACACCCUUGUUCUCCUCCUCCAAGGCACAUUCGGUCAGGCCUUGAGAGCUGACCACACCAGGAAGGUGGCGCGGAAAGUGGUUCUUGCCUCAGGCACCAUGUCAUCAUAUGCUGUAAUGAAUGAAAAUUGGAUGAUCCUGUCCUGGGUCAUGCUUCAGACAGAGGGGGACAGAUCCUUGGAACACAUGUACGAGGGGCUGUCCUGCCGGUACACCUCUGCAGACAUCCCCAAAGCCAAAUACCAAUGGGUUGACAGGUAAAAACUAAUCACCACCUUCCCCUUUUCACUUAUUUAUUGUUACUGCAACUUGAAUAAAGCAAAGUGCAUCUUCAACAUUAUUCUCUCUGUGUGUGCAGGGACUGCUGUGCAGCCUUCAGGGUCGCAAAGUCUGGUCCCCAGGAGCACCUCCUCUGGGACUGCUGGAGAACCACUGAUGAUUUAGUGGCUGAGGCAACUUCAGGGCCCCUCAACAACACCUGUGCAUCCCGCAGCAAGUUCAACAGCGACAUUGACAUCAAGCUGGACCUGUUUCAUUGCAUGCGCCGCCUCUCCAGAGAGUGUGUGUCAGAGCACCAUCCUCUGCACAGCUCCUUUUGCAAGUUUCUUUCUGCAGCUUUCACUAUCAUGGACCAGACAGACCUAGAGAAACUUAAACAGGCAUACGUUUUUUGUGGUAUUGUGCCUGCUAAUCCCACCAAACAGCACACCAAAGAGCAUUGUCGCACCAGGAUACCUGGUCCCCAAGAGCUGCUGGAGAGGGUUGAGCGCGUUUUGCAGCGAUUCCAUUUGGAGUCUGAUCCCGAUGGUAUCCCGCUGUUUAAGCCGUCAAUGUUGACGGUGUGGAGGAUUCAGCGUUUUCACAUACACAGAGGCUGCUUGAGUGACCCAGAGGUUGCAGAGGGAAUCCUUUACAGAUAUGGCGGAACAGUGCAGCUCAACCAUGUCAAGGGAGAGGGAGCUACUGUGCCCCUGUGGAUCCCUGUGAGAGGUACAUCACAGCAGGAGGGGUUCCAUUUCCAUCAAGCAAAAUGGGUGACGGGUAACAAGGUCUCCACAGAACUCUUCCAAGCUCAGGGCAUGAUUGGUGUGGCUCGGUGGAAUUUCAAGCGCCUUGUGGACCUGAAGUUGCCUGAUGUGAAGCUGCCUGCAGUCUUUGAUCCAGUACUGAUGAUGGAGCUGAAUAAGCUCUCUGAAGUGCUGACAGGUCAUGCCAAGUACCCUGCCUUGCGUGUUUCACACACUGACACAGGAGAAAGGUUUGGACUCCAGUAUCUAGAACCUGGCUGUCGUCCUGUCCCGCUGGACUGCAGCAAGCACAAGACCCAGAAGGUUCCUGUUGCAGGAGAGAGAGAGCACCACUCCUCAGAACCGUCUCUUCUCAGUGAGACAUUCACUGAAGACCCAUCUGAGGAGACGAGGGAGGAAGUAAUAAUGUGUAUAUUAUUUUGACUAAUGUAAAUUGUUGAUUACCCUAUGUUUCAGGAUGACCUCUUUGGUGUGGCUUUCCUUGGCUCACAUGCAGUGGCCCAACCCUCACAGCCAUUCAAAGUUCAAGGUAAUUCCAUUGAAUUAUUUCCCCUUAAAAAUACUUUAUUUAUUUGAUGUACAGUAAACUUGGUAAAAUGGAAAUGACACUCUCACUAUCUAUCUCUCUCUUUCAGUUCUCCCAGUCCCAGUGACGCCACCGAUGCCCAUGUCUGCCUCUCUACGUGCUGCACGCACAGUUCUAUGUAAUUCAAUUGAAUUCUUUCCCCCCUUACAAAUGCUUUAUUUAUUUGAUGUACAGUCAACUUGGUAAAAUGGAAAUGACUCACUCUCUCUCUCUCUCUCUCUCUCUCUCUCUCUCUCUCUCUCUCUCUCUCUCUCUCUCUCUCUCUCUCUCUCUCUCUCUCUCUCAGUCCCAGUCCCAGUCCCAGUGACGCCACCGAUGCCCAUGUCUGCCUCUCCACGUGCUGCACGCACAGGUCCAGUCAAGGCAGGCGGCCUACUUUUUGUCCUGGACCAUUCCCGGUGGACACAGCCAAUGAGGGAUGCCAUCGAUGGCCUUCUGGCAAAGCACCAUGGCCAGAAAGACCUCCUCACCAAGGUGGAUGCAGAGUAUGCUGCCCUUGUGCUUGCUGCCUCCAGAGAUCCGAACAACUUGUUACAUCCGACCACCAAACAGCACAUCUCACGGUAUGUGAAACACCAGGCCAAACUGAUGAACAGAAGUUCGUGUCUGAAUACCAGUCCAGAGAAACUCCUUGAGACACAAGAGCUGUGGCAUCAUCUCACAGAGGGUAGUGAAACUGUUUGCGUCCCGGUGGUAACCCUCCCACCUGCACCUGUGAAUCCGCCCAGCAGUAAGUCGCAAGAGCCCUCUCUCACAAAGGCUGAAAUUGAAAACCUGGUCAAAGAGCUUGUGCAAAAGCAGCAGCAGCAGCAGCAGCAACAACAACAGCAGCCUGUGCCAAAAAAAAUUAGGAACUGUCUUGCAUGUGGCCAGCCUAAGUCCCGUUACCUUGGCGAUGGCUCCUCCAUUCACUUCUUUUACCAGGCAGGAAAGGUUAAGUACUUUUACUGCUCUACAAAGAUGCAUCGGACCUAUGUAGCAGAAGGCCUUACUGAUCCCCGCAUGGAAUUUCUUGACUUUGCUGCCACACCUUUUUUCAAGAGAGAGCUGGAGGCAGCAAAGCAGCGGUCUGCUGAGUCCAGGCAGGUAACAGAAGAGCGGGGAAAGAGAAAGGCCAUGGAGCAGCUUCCCACUGGUCGCCUGUCUAGGUUCUGCCACAAACCUAUAAAACAAGGCCCAGGCGGUCGGCAUACACACACUGGGUUCCCUGGUGUGACCGGGAAAUACGUGUACUGUCCUUCAAAAGUUUUUCACCUGUAUCAGUCAGAGGGGAUGACUUCGGAGAUGUCUUGGGAGGAGUUCUGUCAGUCUCCCUUUUAUGAGACUGAAAAGAAGAGGUGGGUGGCAGAAAAGGGAAGGUGAUCGGCCCGUUUGGAACACUUUUAGUUAUUCAAUUUGGUUAAUCUUUUAUUUAUUUUUUUAUUUGGUUCUGGGUAUUUUCUGAUCAGAUGCUGGAAAUGCACUACUUUAAAGGUCUACCUUAAUUUACUUAGUUAAUUUCUGUCAUUUUUGUUAAUCAUUUAUUUCAUUUUAUCUUAGCUAUUUAAAUUACGCUGUUUACUUGUGUGUGUGUGUGUGUGUGUGUGUGUGUGUGUGUGUGUGUGUGUGUGUGUGUGUGUGUGUGUGUGUGUGUGUGUGAUAUGUGCUAUGUGCUUAUUUUGAAAUAAAACAAGUUUAAUACAACCCUUGAAACUUGACUCUUGGUGUAUU
RNAcentral lists this long non-coding RNA (5262 nucleotides) under Gadus morhua (Atlantic cod). RNAcentral's name for it is "lncRNA (ENSGMOG00000027347.1)". The record is from RNAcentral. Lineage: Eukaryota; Metazoa; Chordata; Actinopteri; Gadiformes; Gadidae.